UCGUCGGGUUAGCAAUAAUUCGGCGGUUCUAGUGGCGCACGGGUGAGUAACACGUGGGUAACCUGCCCUCGAGUCCGGGAUACCCCUCCGAAAGGGGGGCUAAUACUGGAUACGUUCCUCGGGUCGCAAGAUCUGGGGAGGAAAGGUAGCUCGCAAGGGCUGCCGCUCGUGGAGGGGCUCGCGGCCUAUCAGCUAGUUGGUGGGGUAAUGG
This 211-nucleotide ribosomal RNA is filed under the name uncultured bacterium. RNAcentral describes it as "partial 16S ribosomal RNA". It matches the Rfam family "Bacterial small subunit ribosomal RNA", at positions 68 to 263 of the family's 1533-position model. The record is from RNAcentral.